GAAUUUCCACGGGAAAGAACAACCAGUGACGAUAGGGUUUUUCCUUUUCGCUCGUUCCAUCCAGUCGACUCGAUUCGUUUCCAGGAUACGCUGUAACAAUCACGAACGAAUAAACAUGAACAAUUGAUACGCGUAACGCGUAACGUUACAUCGUGAGGUUGAAAGGAAGGAGGACACGAGUACUGAAGGAUCGUGUCGUUAAGGAUGACUCAGCGAGCUAUCAGAGCCGUGAGCCGUGUGAAACGGAGACACACGGACGCCUCCGCAAUACGUCGAGGUUUAUCUUCCGUUGCACACCGUACACCGUACAUCGACAACCGAAAAAUUUUGUACCGCAACGAACGACACGGAAGUCAAAAAGGAGACGUCCCGGAGAAAGAGAAAUGGAAAAUUGCGUUCGAUUACCGUGGCGACGAUUAAAGAUCAAGACGAUCGAUCAUCGAGGCAAAUUCGAUCGAAGAAGCUAACGAUCAUCGUUACUACUCGAUUCAUCGUCUCCUGUUAAUACUUACGAGCGUUUUAGCCGACAUCUGUCUAUGCGGCUAUGUUCCAACUGG
This is a long non-coding RNA of Bombus huntii, 557 nucleotides long. RefSeq lists it as uncharacterized. The transcript has 3 exons. The record is from RefSeq and is a predicted model, not a curated record. NCBI's taxonomy places the organism in Eukaryota, Metazoa, Arthropoda, Insecta, Hymenoptera, Apidae.